UGAGGAAUAUUGCGCAAUGGACGGAAGUCUGACGCAGCAAUGCCGCGUGCGGGAAGAAGGCGCUAUGCGUCGUAAACCGCUGUAGCGUGGGGCAAAAAGCACCCUCGGGGUGUGAGAUGGUACCACGAAAGUAAGCAUCGGCUAACUACGUGCCAGCAGCCGCGGUAAUACGUAGGAUGCAAGCGUUGUCCGGAUUUACUGGGUGUAAAGGGUGCGCAGGCGGGCUUGUAAGUCAGAGGUGAAAGCCCGGAGCUUAACUCCGGAAAUGCCUUUGAUACUGCGAGUCUUGAAUAUGAGAGAGGUUCAUGGAAUAUGUGGUGUAGCGGUGAAAUGCGUAGAUAUCACAUAGAACACCAGUGGCGAAGGCGGUGAACUGGCUCAUUAUUGACGCUCAUGCACG
This 400-nucleotide ribosomal RNA is filed under the name uncultured bacterium. RNAcentral describes it as "bacterial SSU rRNA". It matches the Rfam family "Bacterial small subunit ribosomal RNA", at positions 355 to 755 of the family's 1533-position model. The record is from RNAcentral.